This 467-nucleotide ribosomal RNA is filed under the name uncultured bacterium. RNAcentral describes it as "partial 16S ribosomal RNA". It matches the Rfam family "Bacterial small subunit ribosomal RNA", at positions 28 to 507 of the family's 1533-position model. The record is from RNAcentral.
GACGAACGCUGGCGGCGUGCUUAACACAUGCAAGUCGAACGGAAAGGCCCUGCUUUUGUGGGGUGCUCGAGUGGCGAACGGGGGUGAACACCGGGGUAACCUGCCCCUUACCUUGGGGUAACUUCAGGGAACCGGGGGUAAUAACGGAUAAGAGCUUCUUGUUCCUGGUGGGGGGUGGGAAGGUUCGGCGGUUGGGGCUGGACUUGGGGGUUAUCAGGUUGUUGGGGGGGUUGGGGCUUACCAAGGCUUUGACGGGUAGCCGGCCUGAGAGGGUGACCGGCCACAUUGGGACUGAGAUACGGCCCAGACUCCUACGGGAGGCAGCAGUGGGGAAUAUUGCACAAUGGGCGGAAGCCUGAUGCAGCAACGCCGCGUGCGGGAUGACGGCCUUCGGGCUGUAAACCGCUUUCGCCUGUGACGAAGCGUGAGUGACGGUAAUGGGUAAAGAAGCACCGGCUAACUACGUG